GGGCACGGAAGUUGUGCAUUCAAGACCAUCCCAGACCUCGCCCUGUGUGUGUCUUCAUUUGGCUGCGUCCUGAUCUGUAUCCUUUACAACAAACCUAUAAUCAUAAAAUAUAGCACUUCCUUGAGCUGUGUGAGUCAUUCUAGCAAACUAUUGAUUCUGAGAGGGGUCAUGGAAACCCUCCAGAUUUGUGGCCUUUGGGUCAGAAUCGCGGGUGGCCUGGGGACCCCUGAACUUGUGCCUGGUGUCUGCAGUGGGAGCAGUCUUAAUGGGGACCACGCCCUUAAACCUGUGGGAUAUGCGCCAACUCCAGGUGGAAUUCAUGAAGCUUAGAACAGCGCUUGUGUCAAAGGAGCGACAUUGUGGAAAACACAUGGAGAUCGGAAUUACCGUUUUUGGAGACUGUAUAGAUCUGGCGG
RNAcentral lists this long non-coding RNA (416 nucleotides) under Equus caballus (horse). RNAcentral's name for it is "lncRNA (ENSECAG00000056913.1)". The record is from RNAcentral. Lineage: Eukaryota; Metazoa; Chordata; Mammalia; Perissodactyla; Equidae.